GACGGGGUGCAGCAGGCGCGAAAACUUCACACUGCGCGAAAGCGCGAUGAGGGAAUCCCAAGUGUAUGCACGUAAGUGUAUACUGUUUCUAUGUNUAAAAAGCAUAGAGAGUAAGGGCUGGGUAAGACGGGUGCCAGCCGCCGCGGUAAUACCUGCAGCUCAAGUGGUGNCCGCUAUUAUUGGGCCUAAAACGUCCGUAGCCGGUCUUAUAAAUGCCUGGGUAAAUCGUACGGCUUAACCGUACGAAUUCUGGGUAGACUGUAAGACUUGAGACCGGGAGAGGUUAGAGGUACUCCUGGGGUAGAGGUGAAAUUCUGUAAUCCUAGGGGGACCACCAGUGGCGAAGGCGUCUAACUAGAACGGGUCUGACGGUGAGGGACGAAACCCUGGGGCGCAAACCGGAUUAGAUACCCGGGUAGUCCAGGGUGUAAACGCUGCUUGCUUGAUGUUAGUCGGGCUCCGAGCCCGAUUAGUGUCGGAGUGAAGAUGUUAAGCAAGCUGCCUGGAAGUACGUCG
This 516-nucleotide ribosomal RNA is filed under the name uncultured euryarchaeote. Its description in RNAcentral is "bacterial SSU rRNA". It matches the Rfam family "Archaeal small subunit ribosomal RNA", at positions 324 to 842 of the family's 1478-position model. Lineage: Archaea; Methanobacteriati; Methanobacteriota. The record is from RNAcentral.